RNAcentral lists this long non-coding RNA (571 nucleotides) under Carica papaya (papaya). RNAcentral's name for it is "long non-coding RNA (CPAP_LNC005082)". The record is from RNAcentral. Lineage: Eukaryota; Viridiplantae; Streptophyta; Magnoliopsida; Brassicales; Caricaceae.
AAAGAUGCAAUCUUGCAUCAAUGAGGAAUGCCCAAAAUAGAAAAGUAAUUUCAUCCCUAACUACUUCCCUAAUUGGGAUUAUUCCAAGAGAUGGAACAAGUUUGUUCAAGCUAAAAGACUUACGACUUAAGUAAGAUUAAUGGACUUGAAAAAUUAUACGAAAGCCCACACCUUACAAAGAUGGCGUGUCCGAGGCCGUGCAUAGAGGAGAGGCACUCCCGAGGGGUGACCCGAGUCACUCGACCCGCUAGACCCAACUCACGGGCUAGGGGGCUACGCAACCAAGAAGAACGUGCGGCCCAUGCCGCACGUCCCUAUAGAUGGGCCGACUGAGGCCCAUCGGGAAGACCAGAAGGUUGGCCCUCAUCCCAAGGCUCGAUCCAGUAGAAUUGCACCCGUGGGAGAAGAAACCAGGCUGAACGUUUGGCCCAACAGUAGUUGCAGGCCUAGUCGAGGAAAAACCCAGGCGGGUCGCGAAGCCGUGAGGCCCGAAGGCCACGUGACCACAGGCCUGGCCCAAACUGCUGCACAUGUGCAGGCUUCCUUUGCCCGCACGAGUAAUGUGUGUGAU